Molecule: ribosomal RNA, 265 nt
Filed under: uncultured Thermovirga sp.
Lineage: Bacteria; Thermotogati; Synergistota; Synergistia; Synergistales; Thermovirgaceae
Description: partial 16S ribosomal RNA
Rfam family: Bacterial small subunit ribosomal RNA
Source: RNAcentral
CCAUCGGUAAGGCCGGGCGACUCUGGAUGGACUGCCGGCGCAAGCCGGAGGAAGUGGGGACGACGUCAAGUCAUCAUGGCCCUUAUGUCCAGGGCGACACACGUGCUACAAUGGCCGGCACAACGGGAAGCGAAGGGGCGACCCUGAGCGGAUCCCACAAAAGCCGGUCUCAGUUCGGAUUGCAGUCUGCAACUCGACUGCAUGAAGUUGGAAUCGCUAGUAAUCGUGGAUCAGCCAAGCCGCGGUGAAUACGUUCCCGGGCCUU